Molecule: ribosomal RNA, 402 nt
Filed under: uncultured Rhodoferax sp.
Lineage: Bacteria; Pseudomonadati; Pseudomonadota; Betaproteobacteria; Burkholderiales; Comamonadaceae
Description: bacterial SSU rRNA
Rfam family: Bacterial small subunit ribosomal RNA
Source: RNAcentral
UUUGACAUGUACGGAAUCUUUAGAGAUAGAGGAGUGCUCGAAAGAGAGCCGUAACACAGGUGCUGCAUGGCUGUCGUCAGCUCGUGUCGUGAGAUGUUGGGUUAAGUCCCGCAACGAGCGCAACCCUUGUCAUUAGUUGCUACAUUUGGUUGGGCACUCUAAUGAGACUGCCGGUGACAAGCCGGAGGAAGGUGGGGAUGACGUCAAGUCCUCAUGGCCCUUAUAGGUGGGGCUACACACGUCAUACAAUGGCUGGUACAAAGGGUUGCCAACCCGCGAGGGGGAGCUAAUCCCACAAAGCCAGUCGUAGUCCGGAUCGUAGUCUGCAACUCGACUACGUGAAGUCGGAAUCGCUAGUAAUCGCAGAUCAGCAACGCUGCGGUGAAUACGUUCCCGGGCCUU